GCCACUUCCGGGCCGGCCCGGAUCCGCCGCCGGGUUUUGCAGAUAGCCGCUGUCGCCCCCGCCUGCGACGGGCGUUGGGCUCUCUCUCUGGCCGAGGGGUGCGUUUCGGGCCGGUCUGGAAAGCACGACGAGGGCCCCAGGUUUUACGGGGACCCCCCUCUUCGGCCCAACAUACAACUUUCUUUGCCCUCAAAAGCUCCACCGAUAACGCCUCCUAACUGGUUUGAUCCACGUAGGAUGCGAAAGGCGACCACGGUUCCGAGCACCAUUUCCUUGGGGCUGUAACAGGCUAGAAAGCCAAGGCACAACUUUACUGAGCCCUUGCUGAGGGCCCAGAAGUGUAUGAACUGCUAAAACAAAAACAGCGGUACACAGUCCAACGAGAAAUAAAAACCACAGUCUGCGUAGACAAAGUGCCCCAGUGGAACGGUGGGAGGAGAUGAGCCUCUGAUGGGAAGUCUCAGGAAGGGGUCCGCCUAGGGGCGGCCGAGGAUGCUUGAGAAGCACGGAAGAGCAGGCGGCAUCGCCAAGACGGGACGCUUGUCAACAAAGCUGUAUCUAAGCAAAUGUUUGAAGAGGCAGACGGGGGCACGAACUCGUGGAGUUUAGAGGAAGAGGCGAAAAAACUUUAUUCAGCUCACCUGGGGGAGAAAGAUACUUGAUCUAGAAUAUUCUCAAUAAAGAGGUUUGAAGGACUAACAAUUCAGGCUUUGCCAGAGCAGACACAAGUAUCGUUUAAGGACCCCAAAACCUUUCACUUGGCGCAUCAUUCAACUGUUUAUCUGGUUUCGCAAGAAAAGGAGAGGCGGGUGGAAAAAAAUAUUGUUUUACUAUGUGUUGAGCACUGUAAGCACACGCUUGUAUCUUUUUUUACUACUCUCACCUUGUUUACAAUUUCACGGCAGAAAUUAUUCCCGUUUUACGGAUAAAAUAACUGAGGAUCAGAAAUAACUCACUCAUCCAAGGGUUACUGGAGUUUGAACACUGGGAAAGCAGAUCCCCUCACUUCAAAUUAGCACUACCUUGGCAAUCUUAUUCACGUAUUUAACACACAAAACCUGCGUGGGAUACAACCAAGGGCAAAGAAUUUCAGAAAACAGAUCAGCGUAACCACAGAGUUCAAAAUUGCCUUAGGCCAAGAGUUAAGAAACAGAAGUGAAAGAUUAAGCAUCUUUCCUUACGCUGGAAACUGAUUGCUGUGCUCACCUGUGACCGCCCAGCUCGAGACAUAGACUUUGCCUCCUGCUACGCCCAUCAAGAUAGCAGACCCACUACCUGCCGUGUCCAUCAGGUGCUGUGCCGACAGGGCAAUCUUGUGACUAUUGUGGGAGGGACAUUUCAAUCAUAUGUGAAACACCCUGUUU
Molecule: long non-coding RNA, 1364 nt
Filed under: Equus asinus (donkey)
Lineage: Eukaryota; Metazoa; Chordata; Mammalia; Perissodactyla; Equidae
Description: lncRNA (ENSEASG00005029525.1)
Source: RNAcentral